Molecule: transfer RNA, 75 nt
Filed under: Rhodococcus qingshengii
Lineage: Bacteria; Bacillati; Actinomycetota; Actinomycetes; Mycobacteriales; Nocardiaceae
Description: tRNA-Arg
Rfam family: tRNA
About the family: Transfer RNA (tRNA) molecules are approximately 80 nucleotides in length. Their secondary structure includes four short double-helical elements and three loops (D, anti-codon, and T loops).
Source: RNAcentral
UCCCCUUUAGCUCAGCGGCAGAGCGGCCCGGACUACGAGUCGGGACGGGCACUGGUUCGAGUCCAGUCGGGGGAG